CUGCGCUAGACGGGGAGCUAGCGGUGCCCUGUAACCUGCAAUCCGCUACAGCAGGGUUGAAUUCCCUUCCAAGGUUUACUCGCCAAAUGUCAGGUUGAGUAAGUGGUGUUGAUAGAUCAAGUCCUGCGCAACAGGAUGCUGCCGAACCCCGUCAGGACCGGAAGGUAGCAGCGGCAAGCAGUUAAUUCUGUGUGCCGCGGGGGCGCUUGGCUGGAGCUGGCUGCUUAUACGUUUCAUGCGGAAAGAGGAGUCGACGAAGGGUGCGCAG
Molecule: signal recognition particle RNA, 268 nt
Filed under: Candidatus Zhuqueibacterota bacterium
Lineage: Bacteria; Pseudomonadati
Description: candidate division KSB1 bacterium (freshwater sediment metagenome) signal recognition particle sRNA large type
Rfam family: Bacterial large signal recognition particle RNA
About the family: The signal recognition particle (SRP) is a universally conserved ribonucleoprotein involved in the co-translational targeting of proteins to membranes. Archaeal SRP consists of a 7S RNA and homologues of the eukaryotic SRP19 and SRP54 proteins.
Source: RNAcentral